Molecule: ribosomal RNA, 419 nt
Filed under: uncultured soil bacterium
Lineage: Bacteria
Description: bacterial SSU rRNA
Rfam family: Bacterial small subunit ribosomal RNA
Source: RNAcentral
AGAACGAACGCUGGCGGCAUGCCUAAUACAUGCAAGUCGAACGAACUCUUCGGAGUUAGUGGCGCACGGGUGCGUAACGCGUGGGAAUCUGCCCCUUGGUUCGGAAUAACAGUUGGAAACGACUGCUAAUACCGGAUGAUGACGAAAGUCCAAAGAUUUAUCGCCAAGGGAUGAGCCCGCGUAGGAUUAGCUAGUUGGUGAGGUAAAGGCUCACCAAGGCAACGAUCCUUAGCUGGUCUGAGAGGAUGAUCAGCCACACUGGGACUGAGACACGGCCCAGACUCCUACGGGAGGCAGCAGUAGGGAAUAGUUGGACAAGUGGGACGAAAGCCUGAUCCAGCAAUGCCGCGUGAGUGAUAGAAGGUCCGUUAGGUUAGUAAAGUCGUACUUUUACCGAGUAUGAAUAAUAGACAGUAGUA